ACAAGCGGUGGAGUAUGUGGUUUAAUUCGAUGCAACGCGAAGAACCUUACCUAGGUUGACAUCCGAGACCUCCGAAAGGAAGGGUGCCUUCGGGGAAUUCCGAGACAGGCGCUGCAUGGCUGUCGUCAGCUCGUGCCGUGAGAUGUUGGGUUAAGUCCCGCAACGAGCGCAACCCUUGCCUUAGUUGCCAGCAGUUCGGCUGGGCACUCUAAAGGGACUGCCGGUGUCAAACCGGAGGAAGGUGGGGAUGACGUCAAGUCCUCAUGGCCUUUAUGACCAGGGCUACACACGUACUACAAUGGCCGAUACAAAGGGCAGCGACACUGCGAGGUGAAGCCAAUCCCGUAAAAUCGGUCUCAGUCCGGAUUGGAGUCUGCAACUCGACUCCAUGAAGUUGGAAUCGCUAGUAAUCGCGCAUCAGCAUGGCGCGGUGAAUACGUUCCCGGGCCUU
This 451-nucleotide ribosomal RNA is filed under the name uncultured Desulfobulbus sp. RNAcentral's name for it is "bacterial SSU rRNA". It matches the Rfam family "Bacterial small subunit ribosomal RNA", at positions 925 to 1382 of the family's 1533-position model. The record is from RNAcentral. Lineage: Bacteria; Pseudomonadati; Thermodesulfobacteriota; Desulfobulbia; Desulfobulbales; Desulfobulbaceae.